UUGGGGUUUAUCACAUAUUUAACUAUUUAGUAUUAUUUUCACUUACUAGUGAUCAAUUAUAUUUGUAUUUUUUUGUUCUACAUUAUAGCCUUUUCUUUCAAUUUGUUGUGUUUAUUGGUGCUUAUUUAAUAUUCAAUUACAAUUUUUUAUGUAUUAGAGAUCAUUAAUCUCAACUUUCAAUUGAUUUUAUGUAGAAUUCAAUUUUUGUACAAUUUGUUUGUUACACUUAUACUGUAUAUAGGCCCAAAUGGGCUUUUAAAAAGCAAGCAGCUGUAAGAACUAGGGUUUCUAAGCU
This 295-nucleotide long non-coding RNA is filed under the name Brassica napus (rape). Its description in RNAcentral is "long non-coding RNA (BNAP_LNC004770)". Lineage: Eukaryota; Viridiplantae; Streptophyta; Magnoliopsida; Brassicales; Brassicaceae. The record is from RNAcentral.